CUCCAUAGAUUAAUUUACAGAUGGUAUGGAAACACACUUGUUGAGAAAAAUUCCAUUUUUAGAUAUGCAAAUACCUUACCAUGCUUUGAAAACUAUUUUCUAUGCAGCCAAUAGAAUUUUCUAUGUGGUAAAUAUUAACCAAAAUUAAUGGUGCCUUUCAAUAUUAGUGGGAGAUCUUUUUUCUAGAACAUGUCUACUCUUUUUUUGUUGUUGCUGCUGCUUCUCACACUGAACUCUUGUUUUCUUAUAUUUUCUUACUAUAAUAAUAAAGGGUGGUAACGACUUAAAAAAAAAAAAAAAAACAGAGAAGUAUUACAGAAGUAAAGACCGCACUACCAUUCCCUGUCUCCUUUCUGACACUCUGCUGCUUACCUAUACUGGAGCAGGGGUAGUGCAUGGGGGACUGGGGGUGGAGCGAGGGGAGAGUGUUUAGCUGCUCAAGAAAGGAUGUUUAGCUGCUCAAGAAAGGAUGAGAGAAUUCCCCGACAAAAAAAUAAAAAAUUGUCAAUAGCUCUCCAAGAAGAUUCCAUCCCCUCUCCGGUAACCAGAGAAAGGCAAAAUUCUAACACAGGGAGAACAGGCUACUUGUGGCUUCUGGACUAUAAAGACCAAAAGAAAAAAGAAAAAGAGUGACAGGACCUGAUGGGGUAGGGUGAGGUGCUAGUGGGGGUAAAGGAGGGGGCUCUUGCUCUUGGUGGGAGUGGAAAUUGGGGCCCCAAGCUCACUGGCGAUGCAACCCUCACGUGACCAGGAGCUGACGUUAGCAAAGAUACUUAAAGCUCUGACCGCCGUCCUCCGUUCUCCUCUGGGUACCAACUCUGUUGCGCUGUGCACUGCCGUGCGUUUAACCCAGGCGCGGAGGAGGAGGAGAAAAUCCCCCCAGAUCCGGGCAGGCCCCGCACCCCACAUCCCAUCCAGUUUUGAGAGGAGGAGGGAAGAGAAAUAAACGUGGCAGCGCAUAUAAGGCCAGUGGGGAGGUUGGGGAAAGGGUGAUCCGAGGGGCACGCAAUUAGUAAACAAGCCGGCUUAUUCACUCCCACUCUCACUUUUCAGAUACCUCCUUCGACCACUGCCCCCACACCCUCUUCCCCGGCCGGCCCCCAGUCCUUUGGGGUGCUAGGAAAUGGGUGUGACAGCAUUUGUAGGGGAGAUGGGGGGUUGGCUCUGGGCUUUACAGGAAGGAAGACCCUGAGAGAAACCGCCGUGCUAAGAAAGCCUAGGCUGCUUUCCAGACAUCACUGGCCCAUACAGCCCUUCACCUCUGUUUUUUCAGUCCUGAGAAAGGAGUUUGGGUUUCUCUGCCUUUUGGGCCCUGCACAACUGUUAGCCUGGUGGAAAAGUGCAAAUUGCUCCUGCUCUCCCAGCAGAUUGGUCCUGCUUUGCUUGCAGCCUCAGCAGAAUUUUGAGCCUGAGCUGAAGCGCCUCACUUGGACGUGCACGCACCCCACUUGGGCACGUCUGGAUCAGA
Molecule: long non-coding RNA, 1468 nt
Filed under: Bos grunniens (domestic yak)
Lineage: Eukaryota; Metazoa; Chordata; Mammalia; Artiodactyla; Bovidae
Description: lncRNA (ENSBGRG00000019227.1)
Source: RNAcentral